UACGUAGGGGCCGAGCGUUGUCCGGAAUUACUGGGCGUAAAGAGCUCGUAGGUGGUUUGUCGCGUUGUUCGUGAAAACUCACAGCUCAACUGUGGGCGUGCGGGCGAUACGGGCAGACUGGAGUACUGCAGGGGAGACUGGAAUUCCUGGUGUAGCGGUGGAAUGCGCAGAUAUCAGGAGGAACACCGGUGGCGAAGGCGGGUCUCUGGGCAGUAACUGACGCUGAGGAGCGAAAGCGUGGGGAGCGAACAGG
RNAcentral lists this ribosomal RNA (253 nucleotides) under uncultured bacterium. Its description in RNAcentral is "partial 16S ribosomal RNA". It matches the Rfam family "Bacterial small subunit ribosomal RNA", at positions 524 to 776 of the family's 1533-position model. The record is from RNAcentral.